CCUACGGGAGGCAGCAGUGAGGAAUUUUCUGCAAUGGGCGAAAGCCUGACAGAGCAAUACCGCGUGAGGGAUGAAGACUUACUGAGUUGUAAACCUCGGUACCUUAAGGAAGAAGAUAUGACGGUAC
This 127-nucleotide ribosomal RNA is filed under the name uncultured bacterium. Its description in RNAcentral is "partial 16S ribosomal RNA". It matches the Rfam family "Bacterial small subunit ribosomal RNA", at positions 338 to 478 of the family's 1533-position model. The record is from RNAcentral.